UACGUAGGGUGCUAGCGUUGUUCGGAAUCAUUGGGCGUAAAGCGCGUGUAGGUGGUUAAGUAAGUCUUGUGUGAAAUCCCUGGGCUCAACCGAGGAAGUGCAUGGGAAACUACUUAGCUUGAAGAUGGCAGAGGAAGGUGGAAUUCCUAGUGUAGAGGUGAAAUUCGUAGAUAUUAGGAGGAAUACCGGUGGCGAAGGCGGCCUUCUGGACCAUUCUUGACACUGAGACGCGAAAGCGUGGGGAGCAAACAGG
RNAcentral lists this ribosomal RNA (253 nucleotides) under uncultured bacterium. Its description in RNAcentral is "partial 16S ribosomal RNA". It matches the Rfam family "Bacterial small subunit ribosomal RNA", at positions 524 to 776 of the family's 1533-position model. The record is from RNAcentral.